CCUACGGGAGGCAGCAGUGAGGAAUAUUGGUCAAUGGCCGGAAGGCUGAACCAGCCAAGCCGCGUGAAGGACGAAGGUGCCAAGCAUUGUAAACUUCUUUUGUCAAGGGACAAAAUCAGGCUCGAGAGCCUGACCGAGGGUACUUGAAGAAAAAGCAUCGACUAACUCCGUGCCAGCAGCCGCGGUAAUACGGAGGAUGCGAGCGUUAUCCGGAUUUAUUGGGUUUAAGGGGUGCGUAGGCGGGCUGUUAAGUCAGCGGUAAAAGCCCGGGGCUCAACCCCGGCGAGCCGUUGAAACUGGGUGGCUUGAGAUGUCGAGAGGUAUGCGGAAUGCGCAGUGUAGCGGUGAAAUGCUUAGAUAUUGCGCAGAACUCCGAUUGCGAAGGCAGCAUACCGGCGGCGAUCUGACGCUGAGGCACGAAAGCGUGGGUAUCGAACAGGAUUAGAUACCCUUGUAGUC
This 459-nucleotide ribosomal RNA is filed under the name uncultured bacterium. RNAcentral's name for it is "partial 16S ribosomal RNA". It matches the Rfam family "Bacterial small subunit ribosomal RNA", at positions 338 to 795 of the family's 1533-position model. The record is from RNAcentral.